CCGGCUCUCAUAGACAGCAGCUGGACAGCAGACCCUCAGGUCAACUCUGACUGGUUAGUUUACUCCGGUUGGUGAAAUCUUGCAGAUGCCUUUUGGAGCACCAGAGGACACAGAGGCACAUGAUUUGUUUGCAGUUUACCUUCUCAUGCACUACUGUCAGGAUAUAGUGACCGUUUUUUUAAAAAAAUGACUUUUUUUGAUCAUAUUUGCUUCAUUUCUACCUACUGCUGCUUCAAGUUAAAUUUUGAGUGGAAAACUUUUACUAGUAAUGGAGAAUUUUUACAACCUAUUUUAUUUUAUAUUUGACUUAAUUAAAGGAUCUGAGUACUUCUUCCACCACUGCCUCUCGCCCUCAAAGUUUGAACCUCACAGUAAGUUAGUCCAUAUUUGACUCAAGAACAGAGGGAAACAAAUACUGCUGCGUUUUACAGACUUUGCUGUCCCAACCACCCCAGUGCAGGACACACUGACGUUUCCACUCAGCCUGAAGGAGGAGCAGCAGUACCGUAUCACCACUGGGUCAAACUGUGCCGACCUUUAGAGAGCAACAGCCUUUUUGGGAGAGACAUCACUUUUUUAAAAGUGGACCUAAACCCAGCCUGGAAAUGACAAGAAGAAAGCGGAGUAGAGGAGCGAAAGACAGCAUCUUGAAAUCAAAAAGCAAAGACACAGACUGAGCCUGAAAGCUAUUUAUGACAGAGAUUGAUGGAGGGGAGGGACGAGCCGAGAGCUGCCUCUGUUCAGUGAGAAAAGAAGACAACAGCUCGAAGGAAGAGGAUGGCUUCACAACCCCUGCGUAUUCUUGGAGAGGAGGUCGAUGUUGUGGAUGACUACAAGUACCAAGUACCAGACUGAAUUGGAAGACCAAUACUGAGGCUGUAUAUAAGAAAAGGAUGAGCAGAUUCUAUUCCCUGAGCUCCUUCAACGUGUUCUACCAGUCGGUUGUGGCCAGUGCACUGUACUUCAUCGUCGUCUGCUGAGGAGCAGCACUGGAGCCGGUGACACCAACAAACUUAAUAAACUGAUUAAGAAGGCUGGCUCCGUAAUUGGCUGCAAACCGGACACCUUCGAUGUUGUGGUGGAGAGGAGGACACCGAACAAACGGUUAUCCAUUAUGGUUAAUCCUGACCACCCUGUCCACCACCUACUGGACGAUCAGCGUAGCUCUUUCUCUAACAGACCGAUUCAGCUUCGCUGUCACAAGGACCGAUACAGGAAAUCUUUCUUACCCAAACAGACAGAGGUGAGGUGUUGAAGAGAGUUCUUCAACACCUCACCUCUGUCUAACAGAGAACUCUCAACUCUAUAGUUUCUUUUUCAACAAGACUCCAUUCUGUAAUGUCUUGCACAUUUACUACCUCAAAUUGUUUUUUUAUUAAAGAACAAACACUGUAACUUGCACACUUUGCUAAUAUAUAUAGUGUCUUGCACACUUUGCUAAUGUAUAUAGUAUGUUAUUGAUCACUUGCUCAUGUAUAUAAUGGGCUAUUCCAUGUUUAUAAUUUAAAAUUUGUAAUAGUCAGGUAUAUUUAUAGUGUAUUCCAAUAUUCUUUAUAUUUUAUGUUCUAUGGAUGUAUUUCUUUAGUGUUCACAUAUACAUUUUAUUUACUGUUCCUGUGCAUUGCUUGGAUAACCUGCUGCUGUUACACAAUAAUUUCCCAAUUUGGGAUCAAUAAAGUGCAUCUAUCUAUCUAUUUAGAAUGAAUUUAA
This is a long non-coding RNA of Sebastes umbrosus (honeycomb rockfish), 1710 nucleotides long. RefSeq lists it as uncharacterized. The record is from RefSeq and is a predicted model, not a curated record. Lineage: Eukaryota; Metazoa; Chordata; Actinopteri; Perciformes; Sebastidae. The transcript has 4 exons.